UGAAGACAUAAUGACAGUAGCAGAAUUAGAAUCGAUAGGACUUUUCCUUCAUAGCUUUUUCUUUAUGUUCUCGACAAUUUCCUCUUACUAGGAUUUCUGUCUCUUUGUACAACAAUUGCCUGUUUAUAGGCCCUCUUUCAAAAUCAAUACAAUUUUAUUUCCAAAAAGAUGCUUUUGCUUUACUUUUUCUGUUUUGUUUGCAUA
Molecule: long non-coding RNA, 204 nt
Filed under: Lathyrus oleraceus (garden pea)
Lineage: Eukaryota; Viridiplantae; Streptophyta; Magnoliopsida; Fabales; Fabaceae
Description: Pisum sativum (pea) long non-coding RNA (PSAT_LNC022978)
Source: RNAcentral